RNAcentral lists this ribosomal RNA (449 nucleotides) under uncultured bacterium. RNAcentral's name for it is "bacterial SSU rRNA". It matches the Rfam family "Bacterial small subunit ribosomal RNA", at positions 355 to 796 of the family's 1533-position model. The record is from RNAcentral.
UGGGGAAUUUUGCGCAAUGGGCGAAAGCCUGACGCAGCGACGCCGCGUGUGCGAUGAAGGCCCUUGGGUCGUAAAGCACUGUCGAUCGGGACGAAAACUCCUGGGCUAACAUCCCAGGGGCUUGACGGUACCGGUAAAGGAAGCACCGGCUAACUCUGUGCCAGCAGCCGCGGUAAUACAGAGGGUGCAAACGUUGCUCGGAAUUAUUGGGCGUAAAGCGCGUGUAGGCGGUUUGCUAAGUCGACUGUGAAAGCCCAUGGCUCAACCAUGGAAGUGCAGUCGAAACUGGUAGGCUUGAGUCCUGGAGAGGGUGGCGGAAUGCCCAGUGUAGAGGUGAAAUUCGUAGAUAUUGGGUAGAACACCGGUGGCGAAGGCGGCCACCUGGACAGCGACUGACGCUAAGACGCGAAAGCGUGGGGAGCGAACAGGAUUAGAUACCCGCGUAGUCC